CUACGGGUCGCAGCAGUAAGGAAUAUUGCGCAAUGGAGGCAACUCUGACGCAGCCAUGCCGCGUGCAGGAAGAAGGCCUUAUGGGUCGUAAACUGCUUUUAUUUAGGAAUAAACCCCCGAACGUGUUCGGGGCUGAAGGUACUAAACGAAUAAGCACCGGCUAACUCCGGGCCAGCAGCCGCGGUAAUACGGAGGGUGCAAGCGUUAUCCGGAUUUAUUGGGAUUAAAGGGUGCGCAGGCGGGCUAUUAAGUCAGUGGUGAAAUCCCGGGGCUCAACUCCGGAACUGCCAAUGAUACUGAUAGUCUUGAGUUUGGUUGAAGUGGGCGGAAUGUAGCAUGUAGCGGUGAAAUGCAUAGAUAUGCUACAGAACACCAAUCGCGAAGGCAGCUCACUAAGCCAAAACUGACGCUCAUGCACGAAAGCGUGGGGAUCAAACAGGAUUAGAUACCCGCGUAGUC
This 459-nucleotide ribosomal RNA is filed under the name uncultured bacterium. RNAcentral's name for it is "partial 16S ribosomal RNA". It matches the Rfam family "Bacterial small subunit ribosomal RNA", at positions 339 to 795 of the family's 1533-position model. The record is from RNAcentral.